GGAUGAAGAGGGACAGCUGCCAACCCCCCCAUUGUGAACACCGUUACCUAGGUACAAGUACAUUUUUUUCUUUCCUUAAAGGAAACUUACAUUAGGUUUAUAGUUUAGAACAGGCAUUCUCAAUCUUGUUCCAGCUCCCCUGCAUCUUUGUCUGACUGAACUCAUCAGUAGCCCUCUUGAUUAGGUAAAUACACCUGAUUUAGCUAAUUAAGAGCAUUUUAAUUAUACUCAUUUCAAUCAGGUGUUCUUGGAACACGGAAAGAAUGUUUUUGAAAGAGUUUUCAGUCCACUCGAGGCUGCAGGAGCCUUAUUCAAAACCCCUGGUUUAGAACAUUUGAAAAAAAAGAAAAAUCAUCUGUUUUAAACUGUGUGUACAGAAUGCGUGUGUGUACGCUGAAAACAUUUAGUCGCAGUGUUGUAUUUCAGGAGGUUUAUGGCUUCAGGCCAAAUUAGUUAUGGCCAAAAUGUAGUGUCACACUUAGCUGUGACACACAUGCUUGCGUUCCACUCUCUGCUGCUGUCCACGUCUCUGCUCCUCUACAGGGUUCUGAAGGAUGGCCACACCGGCGCCCGGCGUCCUCACCUGACCCCCGACGUACCCCCAUCCACGUGGCAGAAUCACCAAAGCGUGCUGUCAUUUCGAAAAUGGAGGUGUUGAUUCCAUUCCCGAACACUCCGGAGGAAUUCUUCUGCAAUGGGAGAAACUGCACGGUGCUUCAGGAAGACUGUCAACCAAAUACUGAUGAACAAGCACUGAGACAUGCUGCACAUAAUGCUUG
Clupea harengus (Atlantic herring) is the source of this 779-nucleotide long non-coding RNA. RefSeq lists it as uncharacterized. NCBI's taxonomy places the organism in Eukaryota, Metazoa, Chordata, Actinopteri, Clupeiformes, Clupeidae. The record is from RefSeq and is a predicted model, not a curated record.